UUUUCAUUGGAUAAUGACUGUCAUAUGUCAUGUUCUGAUUGGAUGUCAACUUCAUGAAAGAUGAAAUACAUUGUUGUUGUUAUUGGUCAAUCAGAACAUGACAUGUGACAGUCAUUAUUC
Molecule: non-coding RNA, 120 nt
Organism: Glycine max (soybean)
Lineage: Eukaryota; Viridiplantae; Streptophyta; Magnoliopsida; Fabales; Fabaceae
Source: Rfam